GAUGAACGCUGGCGGCGUGCCUAAUACAUGCAAGUCGAGCGAACAGACGAGGAGCUUGCUCCUCUGACGUUAGCGGCGGACGGGUGAGUAACACGUGGAUAACCUACCUAUAAGACUGGGAUAACUUCGGGAAACCGGAGCUAAUACCGGAUAAUAUAUUGAACCGCAUGGUUCAAUAGUGAAAGACGGUUUUGCUGUCACUUAUAGAUGGAUCCGCGCCGCAUUAGCUAGUUGGUAAGGUAACGGCUUACCAAGGCAACGAUGCGUAGCCGACCUGAGAGGACGAUCAGCGUGAAUGGGACGGAGACACGGCCCAGACUCAUACGGGAGGAAGCAGUGGGGAAUAUUGCAAAAUGGGGGGAACACUGAACCAGCCAUGCCGCGUGAGUGAUGAAGGCCUUAGGGUUGUAAAGCGCUUGUGACCGGGCAGAUAAUGACGGUACAGGGAGAAGAAGCCCCGGCUAGCUUCGUG
RNAcentral lists this ribosomal RNA (472 nucleotides) under uncultured bacterium. RNAcentral's name for it is "partial 16S ribosomal RNA". It matches the Rfam family "Bacterial small subunit ribosomal RNA", at positions 28 to 507 of the family's 1533-position model. The record is from RNAcentral.